GAGGAAUAUUGGUCAAUGGACGGAAGUCUGAACCAGCCAAGUAGCGUGCAGGAAGACGGCCCUAUGGGUUGUAAACUGCUUUUGUAUGGGGAUAAAGUCAAUCACGUGUGAUUGUUUGCAGGUACCAUACGAAUAAGGACCGGCUAAUUCCGUGCCAGCAGCCGCGGUAAUACGGAAGGUUCGGGCGUUAUCCGGAUUUAUUGGGUUUAAAGGGAGCGUAGGCCGGAGAUUAAGUGUGUUGUGAAAUGUAGACGCUCAACGUCUGACUUGCAGCGCAUACUGGUUUCCUUGAGUACGCACAACGUUGGCGGAAUUCGUCGUGUAGCGGUGAAAUGCUUAGAUAUGACGAAGAACUCCGAUUGCGAAGGCAGCUGACGGGAGCGCAACUGACGCUGAAGCUCGAAGGUGCGGGUAUCGAACAGGAUUAGAUACCCUGGUAGUCCGCACAGUAAACGAUGGAUGCCCGCUGUUGGUACCUAGUAUCAGCGGCUAAGCGAAGGCAUUAAGCAUCCCACCUGGGGAGUACGCCGGCAACGGUG
RNAcentral lists this ribosomal RNA (539 nucleotides) under uncultured bacterium. RNAcentral's name for it is "bacterial SSU rRNA". It matches the Rfam family "Bacterial small subunit ribosomal RNA", at positions 356 to 896 of the family's 1533-position model. The record is from RNAcentral.